This is a long non-coding RNA of Zea mays, 308 nucleotides long. RefSeq lists it as uncharacterized. NCBI's taxonomy places the organism in Eukaryota, Viridiplantae, Streptophyta, Magnoliopsida, Poales, Poaceae. The transcript has 3 exons. The record is from RefSeq and is a predicted model, not a curated record.
GUUUGCGUUCCUUUGUCCUCCAUCUUUUACCUCUUGUAGUUACACAAGAACAACUUGAUUGUGCUAAAGAGGCAAUCAAAUCUACAGUUCUGAUGAACUUGGAAUCAAGGGCUAAAGUAACCUGUCUCUGUUUGGUCAUUAUGCUCUAGGAUCCUUCAACUUGACAUCACAGCAAUCGUUGAGGAGUGUAACCAGCAACCUCAGCUCUGAAAGAACCCUAGAGUAAACACUCACAUCAAGACACUCCACUGUUCACUCUUGGGCUGCUCCUACCAAUGAAGCAAGAGCAUCUCCACCUGGCAAUGGUC